GUCUUUGGCAUUCUUGCUUCUGUCUCCAGCAACCAGCAAGUUUAUACAAUGGAAAAUGCCCUCCAAGUUUUCCGUAGAAUAAAAGACAAAAGGAAAACUACUGGAGCUCUGGCAUAGGGGAAGGAGAACUGUACAGAGCUCCGAGCCUUCUUCAUGCCUAAGCUGCUGGGAGAGUGCCAGGCCCUGCCUUCAGCAGCACACACUGCCUGUACUUCCUUCUGGGUGCUGGUGCCCAGGAGCCGCGAUCUGAUUUGCUCAUUGUGCUUCAGUGAAGGGAAACCACAUGGAACCAAGUGCAUCUAGACUGGCAAAGCAUUCACCACUCUGGACUAGGGCCAACCGGGAGAGAAGCAAUGACCUCACUUUGGGGGCACGUUGAUAAGCAAAACUUUCACCAUGAAAAAUAUUCUCUCCAAAGUUAGUGCUGUUCUGUCUAAGCGAAAGGACGUAUCCUUCCUUUCUGUCAAUAAGUGAUAAGCUUCUGUGUGUGUGUGUGUAUAUAUAUAUAUAUAUACACUGAGCUGAAAUCUGUCCCUCCACAACUUCUAACAAUUCUGGGUGGUCAAGAUGAGAAACGGACCCUGGAUUCUUGCUCACCACAGGCAUGACCUUCGAAUAAAAUCAAGGCUACAUCUGGACUCGUCUUUCAAUCACGAAUUGGCUACAGGAUGAAGGUGGUUUCUGUAACCACAACGGCUCCAUUUCUGCCUAAAUAUGCAUCGAGAAAGGGGAUUUACCAAUCCAAACAUCAAUAGGAGCAGGGGAGAGGGAAACCGAUCAGUCUUGCUUUUUUGCUUCCCCUCCCCUCCCACCCCCAAUAAACAGGGGGGCU
Long non-coding RNA from Sarcophilus harrisii (Tasmanian devil), 832 nucleotides. RefSeq lists it as uncharacterized. The record is from RefSeq and is a predicted model, not a curated record. The transcript has 2 exons. NCBI's taxonomy places the organism in Eukaryota, Metazoa, Chordata, Mammalia, Dasyuromorphia, Dasyuridae.